Molecule: ribosomal RNA, 520 nt
Filed under: uncultured bacterium
Lineage: Bacteria
Description: bacterial SSU rRNA
Rfam family: Bacterial small subunit ribosomal RNA
Source: RNAcentral
GGGAACGUGCCCUUCGGUUCGGAAUAACUCAGGGAAACUUGAGCUAAUACCGGAUACGCCCUUAUGGGGAAAGGUUUACUGCCGAAGGAUCGGCCCGCGUCUGAUUAGCUAGUUGGUGAGGUUACGGCUCACCAAGGCGACGAUCAGUAGCUGGUCUGAGAGGAUGAUCAGCCACACUGGGACUGAGACACGGCCCAGACUCCUACGGGAGGCAGCAGUGGGGAAUAUUGGACAAUGGGGGCAACCCUGAUCCAGCCAUGCCGCGUGAGUGAUGACGGCCUUAGGGUUGUAAAGCUCUUUUCUCCGGGACGAUAAUGACGGUACCGGAGGAAUAAGCCCCGGCUAACUUCGUGCCAGCAGCCGCGGUAAUACGAAGGGGGCUAGCGUUGCUCGGAAUCACUGGGCGUAAAGGGCGCGUAGGCGGCUGAUUUAGUCGAGGGUGAAAGCCCGUGGCUCAACCACGGAAUGGCCUUCGAUACUGGUUGGCUUGAGACCGGAAGAGGACAGCGGAACUGCGAGU